Rattus norvegicus (Norway rat) is the source of this 104-nucleotide small nuclear RNA. The record is from Ensembl. Lineage: Eukaryota; Metazoa; Chordata; Mammalia; Rodentia; Muridae.
GUGCUCGCUUCGGGAGCACAUAUACUAAAAUUGAAAUGAUACAGAGAUUAGAAUAGCCCCUGUGCAAGGAUGACACAGAAAUUCAUGAAGUGUUUCAUAUUUUU